Molecule: long non-coding RNA, 3030 nt
Organism: Mus musculus (house mouse)
Lineage: Eukaryota; Metazoa; Chordata; Mammalia; Rodentia; Muridae
Product: predicted gene, 52789
Exons: 2
Source: RefSeq, a predicted model, not a curated record
UCCAGGACAGCCAGGGCUAUACAGAGAAACCCUCUCGAAAAACCAAAAAAAGAAAAGAAAAAAGGAAAGUUAAUAGAGGGAACAGGGUAACCGAAACACACAAGCUGGAAUUUUGUUGAAGUACCUGUGGAUGAAUGUUAAGGGUCUAUGCUCGAGGUACAUGCAAGUUCCAUUGGGGAACACGAGGGAGGAGUUGCUGGCUUCCAUGGUAAGGGUCUAUGGUCUAUGAUUGCAACAGUGUUUAAAGUGAGGGAAGAGGGGGCUGGUGACAUGGCUCAGUGGGUAAGAGCACCCGACUGCUCUUCCAAAGGUCUGGAGUUCAAAUCCCAGCAACCACAUGGUGGCUCACAACCAUCCAUAACGAGGUCUGACUCCCUCUUCUGGAGUGUCUGAAGACAGCUACAGUGUACUUACAUAUAAUAAAUAAAUCUUUUUAAAAAAAAGUGAGGGAAGAUAAUUAGCCUAACCCCUUUUCCUAUCACACAUAGUCCCUUUCUAGUCACUGCUGUAAAGGUGAGGACUGGGGACCUUCCCCAGGAACACUGGUGGCCUUUCUAGUGGUGUCAACAAAUUUUCUAUGGUAGCCCAGUCAGUAUGGUAUGGGGACCUUGGUUCCAGGAAGAGCCAACAAUCUUCUCAGAUGAGGUGAGUGGUGCAGUUCAAGGUAAAGCUGAGCAGUCUAAACAGGGCGAUGUGUCAAAGGCCCAGAGAGAAGUGGGAAGCCCGGAGGAAAGACUGAGUUCAUAGGGGAACAGGGAUCUGAAACACAGGCUGAUGCUGUAGUUUUUCAGGACAGGCAGGUAGUGGCAUUGCUGGUGUUGUUGGUCCUAUAGCUAUGGUGUGUGUGUAUGCGUGCGUGCUCAGACAGGACUAUUUGUUUUUGUACCUAGAAGAGGAGUCUCCUAUUGUGUCCAUGAUAGACCAUUAAGUCCCAAACCUCUCCAGCCUCCCAUCCUCUGCUUUGUCCCUUUUCCAUUAUUGACAAGGACAUGGGAUCCUCCCGUUAAGCCCACCAAUCCCCCAGGGGUCAGGUUCAUUAUCCUGCCAUCUAGAUAAAAUCCCAAUUAUUAUGUACCCAUGGGGCACUGAUCUCACAGCCCUACUUAUGGCAAAGCAGCUUUCUGUACCACCGUUUGUCUCUGGGCAUGCAUAGAGUCGGAUGGUUAUGAACUGUACUUCUUGGCAGUCCUUCCUGCAAGUCACUCUUGGACCCAGACCCUUCCUUAUGAAUCAGGCCAAGUCACAACGGUCUAAGUUAAAAAUCAAUUCACCAGACCCGUCAGUGUCAAAGUCUGUUCCUCUCUCCCUAAAUAUCGUGGGGUUCUCUGAGGGCCUGAGGAUUCAUUUGGUGGUAAGAGCUUGGUGAGGGUUUGUGUCCUCUGAAGUCUGGUCUCUAAGCAGAGCAAGUGUGAGUAUCAGGCAGUCAGGACUCUCUGGAGAUCUCUGGGAACCACCAUUGUUUAGCAUGCAGCAGGGUGGGUAUGAGGCAUGAGUUUUGAACUCUUAACUGGGUUUCGUAGGUAGGCUACAGCUCGACACAGUCCAGUGCUAGCGCCAGGUGCGUAACUGUCAGGAUCUUUGUGUGGGUCGGCAGGUUUAAUUGAGACAUUAAUUAUUGUCUCCUUUAAGGUACCACUCUUUCUCUCUACUUAUCUUGAACUUUGGGAACGAUAAACACACUGGGGUUUCCAAUUUGUCCCCACAGCCCUGACUUUUGGGAUACUUAAGAGAUAAAAAUAGGCCAAUUGUAUGACCCGGGGAGUAUGGGGGGGGGGGCAAUACCUAAAGAUGAUGUCUUUUAACAGCUUCUUGGCCAUCACAGCAUUUGGUGGGAUAGGCCUCUCUGUCCAUCUACUGACACUACAAGUACCCAGACCUGCACAACCACAGGCUUGGCUUCUAUAAAGUUAAUUUCCAAGUUUCUUCUGGGUCAAGAUCCUCUCUCCCUGGAUCCCAAUCUGGAGGUCCCUCCAUGCUGGGUUUGACUAUCUGGCAGGUGGGCCCCCAAGCCAGGACUUCCUCUGGUUUUGGCCUUAAGUCAAAGACAUGAAGGUGAGCCCUUCAGAGUAGGCUCUCAAACUGACCUUUCCCUAGGUGGGGGUUCUGGUGCCUCUGAUGGAUUAACAGCUGAGGGGAGGAUAAUCCUGCCGAGGUGGGGGGAUUUUCCUACAAGGAAAAGGGAUUGUGCCCCCCCCCCGCCCCGGUCCUGGACAAUCCCUUUUCCUUGUAGGCUGCUUGUGCAGGUUUAGAUCCUCUGUAACUCCUUGUUAGUGUAAGUUGGGACCUCAGGCAACAUGGGUGUCACCAUAAGAGCAUCUGGGCCAUUAGGAUAGUGGUGACCUGGAGUGCUGCCUUCCGGCCCAAUCCCAGGUGUUUCCUCUAGGGAUAGUUCUGUGUCGAUUUUGGUGUCCAGGGCAGUAUAUGACUGAUAUGUUCUCAGGCAGCCACACUGCUUGUAAGAGGCUUAGGAUUGCCUACUUAUUUUUGCCAGUUUUUCCUUCUGAGGUGAGACGCCCUCUUUCCUUGAGGAUGGCCCCAUCAACAAACUCGGACGCAAAAGCAUACCACCUGUCCAAGGAGAUAGUCUUUUUUCUUGGCCCAGCUGUAGGGCCUUUGUCAGAGCUAUUAAUUCUGCUUUUUGAGCUGCUGUUCCUGUAGUCAAUGAUCAUCCUACUUCUACUGCCUCAAUGUAUGUGCCAACCAACCAGUCACAUGCUCUUGGGAUUGGGCUUCAACAUGGCGUCGGCCACGCGCCGACGUGGCACCCCGCCAAGCCAGUUGGGCGACUCGCUCCGCCUUCUCACCUUGGCCCGGCUCCCUUCGGGCUUCCUUCCACUCACCUCGACAAAUUUGGGGUUCUUUCCGCACCGCGAGAAAAACCGUUUCCACCGCCCGUUUACCAGAAACUGCAGAUUCCACACGCCGACCUCCACUGGAACCCUUUAUCGGCAGCAGCAGAUUCGCCACGACGUCGUCGGAACUUCUGUCUUUUGAAUUACUUAAAUAAAUUGACUAUAUACGUCCAACAUA